Dicentrarchus labrax (European seabass) is the source of this 447-nucleotide long non-coding RNA. RefSeq lists it as uncharacterized. Lineage: Eukaryota; Metazoa; Chordata; Actinopteri; Moronidae. The transcript has 4 exons. The record is from RefSeq and is a predicted model, not a curated record.
GAUCACACCAUGGACACAACCUGUUCCAACUUCUCCCCUCUGAUGGCUUCCACCAUGAACUCCACCGGGGAGCUCCGACUUUUCUUUCCCAUCUUCACCGCAGUUAAGAGCCAACCUUCACUUCGAAUUCCCCCCAACGAUAUGGAUUAUAUUAUGUUUUUGACAUGUGGUCGUGGGCUGGAGGACCAGAAAUGCAGUUUUGGAGAAGUAUAAUGGACAAAGAGAGGAAGAUGAUGAUAUUCUGUCUGUUCUUGGCAGCUCUCAGCAGCCCUGUGUUUACUGAAGAAUGGAAGGCUGAUGUUGUAAAGAACGUCUUGAUGCCCUGAUUUCAUCCUGUGUUGUAGUACCCUGUCCAUUCAACCAUCCUAGAAGACCCCUGCCCACGUCCAGGCUCAGAGGAGUCUGGCAUCGUUCAACCGGUCAACAAGAACGUAUCUCUCACGAGGA